Molecule: unclassified non-coding RNA, 380 nt
Filed under: fungal sp.
Lineage: Eukaryota; Fungi
Description: partial internal transcribed spacer region
Rfam family: Eukaryotic small subunit ribosomal RNA (bases 1-46)
Source: RNAcentral
AAGUCGUAACAAGGUUUCCGUAGGUGAACCUGCGGAAGGAUCAUUAACACGUAUCCAAACGUUAAACCCCCCCCGUGAACCUUCAUCGUGCUCUAGUGGGCCACUGAUAAACACAGCAAUUCCUGGUAAAUCAUUGUCUGAACAAGCCUUUGAGUCAGGAACCUCUGUGCAGUGCGAGCUACACCCACUAUAGAAGCGCUAGUUCCAUCGGCAUUGUUUCCCCAAGCAGCCAGUGCGUGAAAGUGGCAACUGACUGUGCAAGGAUAACGCUUAACGAUUUUGCAGCCGCAUCCUUCUGCCGAUUUCACAUACAAAGCUCCAUUUUCAAUUAUGGAUGGGGUAAAACCGAACAACUGUUAACAAUGGAUAUCUUGGUUCUC